RNAcentral lists this ribosomal RNA (399 nucleotides) under Tettigonia viridissima. RNAcentral describes it as "partial 16S ribosomal RNA". It matches the Rfam family "Bacterial large subunit ribosomal RNA", at positions 1919 to 2528 of the family's 2925-position model. Lineage: Eukaryota; Metazoa; Arthropoda; Insecta; Orthoptera; Tettigoniidae. The record is from RNAcentral.
UUUAUUAAAGGGCCGCGGUAUUUUGACCGUGCAAAGGUAGCAUAAUCAUUAGUCUUUUAAUUGAAGGCUGGUAUGAAUGGUUUGACGAGAUAUAAGCUGUCUCUGUAUAAUGAUAUAUAAUUUAACUUUUGAGUCAAAAGGCUUAAAUAAAUAUAAAAGACGAGAAGACCCUAUAGAGCUUUAUAUAUAAUUGUACUUGUAUUAUUUGGAGGUAUUGUAAAUAAGUAUGAAUUAUAUGUUUUGUUGGGGUGACAUGAAGAUAUAAUAAACUCUUUAUUAUUAAAACAUUGAUUUAUGAUUAAUUGAUCCAUUAUUAAUGAUUACAAGAUAAAGUUACCUUAGGGAUAACAGCGUAAUUUUUUUUGAGAGUUCUUAUCGACAAGAAAGAUUGCGACCUCG